This 405-nucleotide ribosomal RNA is filed under the name uncultured bacterium. RNAcentral's name for it is "bacterial SSU rRNA". It matches the Rfam family "Bacterial small subunit ribosomal RNA", at positions 355 to 774 of the family's 1533-position model. The record is from RNAcentral.
UGGGGGAUAUUGCACAAUGGAGGAAACUCUGAUGCAGCAACGCCGCGUGAGGGAAGAAGGUCUUCGGAUUGUAAACCUCAGUAGUCAGGGACGAAAGAAAUGACGGUACCUGAAGAGUAAGCUCCGGCUAACUACGUGCCAGCAGCCGCGGUAAUACGUAGGGAGCGAGCGUUGUCCGGAUUUACUGGGUGUAAAGGGUGCGUAGGCGGGAUAGCAAGUCAGACGUGAAAUACCGAGGCUUAACUUCGGGGCUGCGUUUGAAACUGUUAUUCUUGAGUGAAGUAGAGGCAGGCGGAAUUCCUAGUGUAGCGGUGAAAUGCGUAGAUAUUAGGAGGAACACCAGUGGCGAAGGCGGCCUGCUGAGCUUUAACUGACGCUGAGGCACGAAAGCAUGGGGAGCAAACA